GCCCGUGUAGUUUUAGCUAAAACAUAACACUGAAGAUGUUAAGAGGGGCCUUAGAAAGCCUCGCGAGCA
RNAcentral lists this transfer RNA (69 nucleotides) under Bovichtus variegatus (thornfish). RNAcentral describes it as "tRNA-Phe". Lineage: Eukaryota; Metazoa; Chordata; Actinopteri; Perciformes; Bovichtidae. The record is from RNAcentral.